CUUAGAGUAUUUGGUGUUUUGAGACCAGUUGGAAAAGAGUGAAGUGAGCUUUGAGAGUUCAUGUUAUAAGAAAAAGAAAGGGAAAAGAAAAGAUUGAAGGAAAGGGUAGCUAGUCCUCAUCCUCCUAGUUCUCUCCCUCUCUCUCGGCCACCUGCUGCAUCCCUGCGAGCUAGCACUUCUCAGGAUGCCGGUUGAUCCAGAGGCCUCGCGUGGAUUACUUGUAGAGGCCGGAUGCUUGUGCGGUUGUGGAGCAGCAAGCUAGAACCAACCUGCUGAAAGAUUAGUGUUCUGUUUUCAGUUUUUGGAGUUGAGAUUUGAUCUCAAUUCAAGAACACAUACGAUGUGAUAUCCAUAUAUUUUUAUCACAUAUCCUGCGGAUUCAUCUGAGAAUUUCGUAGGAUUGGAUCAGAUCCAAAGUUUGCAAUGGGCUGUUUUGAACAGCCCUGUUUUAUUCCGCUGAAAAUUAUUUUCAAAUUGCAUACUUUCACCUUAAUCGGUGAAUCCUCGGCGCAUACGAUGCUCGAAUUCCCUUCAGGUACGUUUCUCUUUUUUCUUGUCUCUUUUUGUUUUUCUUUAUUUUGUCUUUGUUUCAGUUUUUGUUUUUGCUUGUUUUGUUUUAUUUCGUUUGGUUUCCUUAGUUUAAUUUCCAGAUUUGCCAGCUUCCUAUUUUUACCAUGGAUUUGUGCUCCGCUAAUCAGGUGACCUCUAUCCUAUUUUGUUUCCUAUUCUUUUAUUUCCAUACAUUGUGGACAAUGUUAUGUUUUAGUUGGGGGAGGGUAGCCUAUGUGUAUGUGUUUUUGCAUGACUUUGCUUUAAAACAAAAAAAAUGAUUACAGAAUAUUUUUGUCGGAGUCAAUUUUUCUAUCUUAGUUACGCUAUUAAGAUACCCUUAGAAUUCUUUUUUUAUGCAUGCAUCUAAGCCUUAUGGUUUGAUGGAUGUUCAAUGCAUACAAUUAGAGAACUCUCAAACUUAAGUAUUUACGCAUUUGUGAGCAUUAGAGAGAGAGAGAGUUCAUCAUGUUCAGAGACUUGUGGCAUGCAUUCAUUGAUUCUUUUGAAUUGGUUGCUCCAUUGGAAAUUUUUACUACACAGUUUGUGGUAUGUUGGUUGAUUAUACUUUGGAGAUGAUGAAGGUCAAUUUAGGAUGAACGUUUGAGCCUUUCAAGCUAACCCAUGUUUUAUCCAUUAGAAGCCGUUUUGAGCCCGAAAAAAAAGAGCCCUUUCCUUUGUAAACCCAUAUGUCCUUACCCCCCCCUCCACAUUGGAGUUGAGCCUAAAUUAUUAUAUCUUUCCUACCUUUUACUUUCAAGUACAUGCUAGGGAUGAUAAAUGUUGGUCCGCAAAUAAUGAAGAUAAGAAAGGGGAUGUACUAUGGUGGUUUCUCAUUGGUGCUAACAGGUUUGUUGAAAUGGAUUCCACGAUUGCAACCAAAGGUUGUGUUACAAAAAAAAAAAAAAAAAAGAAGAAAAAGAAAAGAAAGAAACAAAUCAACUCCACUAGCAGCUUCAACUUUCUAUUACCACAAGUCUCGAAAAUGUCUCAGGCUCUAAUCUCCACUCUGAAAAUGGUUCUAUUGGUUCCUAAACCGCUUGUCACCAGUUCAAAAUGCCAGUAUGAAGUUGUUGAUGAAAUAACCAAGUACCAUGGUUGAAUAACCCACAUGUUUAGCCUAAUACAACCAAAAUGGUAUGACUAGCGUGAAAAAAAAAGAGAGGUACAAGCGGUUUGAGGGAGUUGUGCUUGAUGUUAUAUCUUGUGAAGACCUCUAGUAUGUACUGGAAAGUUCUUUUGAAUUCUCUUAUCCAUCCUUUUAUUAUUUUUAUUUUACUUAACUUUAGCCUCAUUACAACCUUUUAUUAUUGACCUUUUUGAUCCUAAGUGGGUUUGUGGUAAGAAUGGUUGAGUUCCCAAUGGUUGGUGAUCCUAUCAUAAGAUCAAUGCUUGUUUGUUGCUUGUUCAUGAACACUUGCCUUCUCAUAUAUUUGUCUGAACACCCUUCCUUAACUCCAUAAAGAGAUCCCUUACACCAGUCUACUAUUGAAUAUUAUACCUGUGAGAUAUGGAGUUGAAGCUUUGGUUUGAAAUGUUCUCGACAUUGUAUGUGUCAGGAUCGGUGGUAAGAUGGUUACGGCUUAGAUUGCACACACACACGAAUUCUGGGAGUUGCUCUUGAUGGACUGAUUUUGAUAGUAUUAUUGAUCUCUUGCAAGUACUUUGUUUGAUAUACUUGAAUAUUAUUGCUUAGCUCAUGCAAAAGCUGUCUACACUGGAUUGGAUAUAGUCCAUUCUUUUUCUUCGCUUAAAUUGCUAGGAACUAGCAAUAAGCUGGUUGGGAGGUGUGAUAGGUGCAUGAAAAUGUACCUUUUAAUACUACCAAUUUAGGCUAAAUUUUUAAGACUUAAGCAUGAUUUGGGUAUUUUUAUGAUACUUUUCUAAUCUGAGCUUUACUUCACAAAGUGUCCAAGUCUUAAUUGAUUUCGGUGAUUUUAUUGUAGAAAUGGAGUUAAGGAGAUUGAAUAUCCCAUUGCAGUCCGAAUGAAAUAAAACUUGGUGAAAAUGAAGUAGACAUGUUGAGGUUUCAUUUGCAUCAAGA
RNAcentral lists this long non-coding RNA (2593 nucleotides) under Phoenix dactylifera (date palm). Its description in RNAcentral is "long non-coding RNA (PDAC_LNC006373)". Lineage: Eukaryota; Viridiplantae; Streptophyta; Magnoliopsida; Arecales; Arecaceae. The record is from RNAcentral.